This 459-nucleotide ribosomal RNA is filed under the name uncultured bacterium. Its description in RNAcentral is "partial 16S ribosomal RNA". It matches the Rfam family "Bacterial small subunit ribosomal RNA", at positions 339 to 795 of the family's 1533-position model. The record is from RNAcentral.
CUACGGGAUGCACCAGUAAGGAAUAUUGGUCAAUGGACGAAAGUCUGAACCAGCCAUGCCGCGUGAAGGAUGACGGCCCUAUGGGUUGUAAACUUCUUUUAUAUGGGAAGAAACCCCUCUACGUGUAGAGGGCUGACGGUACCAUACGAAUAAGCAUCGGCUAACUCCGUGCCAGCAGCCGCGGUAAUACGGAGGAUGCAAGCGUUAUCCGGAUUUAUUGGGUUUAAAGGGUGCGCAGGCGGAAAGAUAAGUCAGUGGUGAAAUCCUACGGCCUAACUGUAGAACUGCCAUUGAUACUGUCUUUCUUGAGUACAGUUGAAGUGGGCGGAAUGUGUCAUGUAGCGGUGAAAUGCAUAGAUAUGACACAGAACACCGAUAGCGAAGGCAGCUCACUAAACUGAAACUGACGCUCAUGCACGAAAGCGUGGGGAGCAAACAGGAUUAGAUACCCCCGUAGUC